UCCUGGAACCACGGACCCGGGGGGGGUGUGCAAGGUUGGGGUGUGGGGGUAGUGGGGAAGGGGGAGCACCUGGCCUUCACACAGGUGGACUCCUGGAACCACGGACCCGGGACGGGGUGUGUGCAAGGUUGGGGUGUGAGGGUAGUGGGGAAGGGGGAGCACCUGGCCUUCACACAGGUGGACUCCGAAAAAGGACACUCACUGGUUGUCGAGGCAGACCCUGGGGAAGUGGGGAAGGGAGGAUGCCUGAGGGGACACAGGCGGACUACUGGACACGCGGACCUGGGAGAGACGAAAAAGGACACUCACUGGUUGUCGAGGCAGACCCUGGGAAAGUGGGGAAGGGAGGAUGCCUGAGGGGACACAGGCGGACUACUGGACACGCGGACCUGGGACAGACGAAAAAGGACACUCACCGGCCGUCGAGGCAGACCCUGGGAAAGUGGGGAAGGGAGGAUGCCUGAGGGGACACAGGCGGACUCCUGGACACGCGGACCUGGGAGAGACGAAAAAGGACACUCACCGGCCGUCGAGGCAGACCCUGGGGAAGUGGGGAAGGGAGGAUGCCUGAGGGGACACAGGCGGACUCCUGGACACGCGGACCUGGGAGAGACGAAAAAGGACACUCACCGGCCGUCGAGGCAGACCCUGGGGAAGUGGGGAAGGGAGGAUGCCUGAGGGGACACAGGCGGACUCCUGGACACGCGGACCUGGGAGAGACGAAAAAGGA
Non-coding RNA from Cherax quadricarinatus, 730 nucleotides. NCBI's taxonomy places the organism in Eukaryota, Metazoa, Arthropoda, Malacostraca, Decapoda, Parastacidae. The record is from RefSeq and is a predicted model, not a curated record.